GAUGAACGCUGGCGGCGUGCCUAAUACAUGCAAGUCGAGCGAACAGACGAGGAGCUUGCUCCUCUGACGUUAGCGGCGGACGGGUGAGUAACACGUGGAUAACCUACCUAUAAGACUGGGAUAACUUCGGGAAACCGGAGCUAAUACCGGAUAAUAUAUUGAACCGCAUGGUUCAAUAGUGAAAGACGGUUUUGCUGUCACUUAUAGAUGGAUCCGCGCCGCAUUAGCUAGUUGGUAAGGUAACGGCUUACCAAGGCGACGAUGCGCAGCCGACCUGAGAGGGUGAUCGGCCACACGGGAACUGAGACACGGUCCAGACUCCUACGGGAGGCAGCAGUAGGGAAUCUUCCGCAAUGGGCGAAAGCCUGACGGAGCAACGCCGCGUGAGUGAUGAAGGUCUUCGGAUCGUAAAACUCUGUUAUUAGGGAAGAACAAAUGUGUAAGUAACUAUGCACGUCUUGACGGUACCUAAUCAGAAAGCCACGGCUAACUACGUG
This 497-nucleotide ribosomal RNA is filed under the name uncultured bacterium. Its description in RNAcentral is "partial 16S ribosomal RNA". It matches the Rfam family "Bacterial small subunit ribosomal RNA", at positions 28 to 507 of the family's 1533-position model. The record is from RNAcentral.